This 333-nucleotide ribosomal RNA is filed under the name Brachistosternus montanus. Its description in RNAcentral is "partial 12S small subunit ribosomal RNA". The record is from RNAcentral. Lineage: Eukaryota; Metazoa; Arthropoda; Arachnida; Scorpiones; Bothriuridae.
UAAAAAUUUAUUUAUUUUAGGUAGUAACAGAUUUCUUGAAACCUAAAGAAUUUGGCGGUAUUUUAAAUAAUUAGAGGAACCUGUUAAAUAAAUGAUAAUCCACAACAUAUCUUACCUUAAUUAAGUUUGUAUACCGUUGUUUUUAGAUUAUAUUUAUAAGUUAUGAUCAAAAUUAAUUAAUUUUUAUAAAUCAAAUCAAGGUGCAGCAUAUUUAGGUUUUAAUGGGUUACAAUAUAUUAAUAUACACGAAUAAAUUAUGAAAAUAUUUUAGAAGGUGGAUUUAAAAGUAAUUUAAAAUUAAAAUGUUUAAAUGAAUAAAAAUUUAAAAUAUGC